This 130-nucleotide ribosomal RNA is filed under the name uncultured bacterium. RNAcentral describes it as "partial 16S ribosomal RNA". The record is from RNAcentral.
GUUGGCCGGGACUUCUUCUGUAGGUACCGUCAUUUUCGUCCCUACUGAAAGGGGGUUUACAACCCGAAGGCCUUCAUCCCCCACGCGGCGUUGCUGCGUCAGGCUUUCGCCCAUUGCGCAAGAUUCCCCA